GACGUAGGGCGCGAGCGUUGUCCGGAUUGAUUGGGCGUAAAGAGCUCGUAGGCGGCUCGUUGCGUCGGCUGUGAAAACCCGCAGCUCAACUGUGGGCCUGCAGCUGAUACGGGCGGGCUGGAGUUCGGUAGGGGAGACUGGAAUUCCUGGUGUAGCGGUGAAAUGCGCAGAUAUCAGGAGGAACACCGGUGGCGAAGGCGGCUUCCUGGACCGACACUGACGCUGAGGCGCGAAAGCUAGGGGAGCAAACGGG
This 253-nucleotide ribosomal RNA is filed under the name uncultured bacterium. RNAcentral's name for it is "partial 16S ribosomal RNA". It matches the Rfam family "Bacterial small subunit ribosomal RNA", at positions 524 to 776 of the family's 1533-position model. The record is from RNAcentral.